UACGUAGGCAGCAAGCGUUGUUCGGAGUUACUGGGCGUAAAGGGUGCGUAGGCGGCUUUUUAAGUUUGGUGUGAAAUCUCCCGGCUCAACUGGGAGGGUGCGCCGAAUACUGAGAGGCUAGAGUGCGGGAGAGGAAAGUGGAAUUCCUGGUGUAGCGGUGAAAUGCGUAGAUAUCAGGAGGAACACCGGUGGUGUAAACGGCUUUCUGGACCGUAACUGACGCUGAUGCGCGAAAGCGUGGGUAGCAAACAGG
This 253-nucleotide ribosomal RNA is filed under the name uncultured bacterium. RNAcentral describes it as "partial 16S ribosomal RNA". It matches the Rfam family "Bacterial small subunit ribosomal RNA", at positions 524 to 776 of the family's 1533-position model. The record is from RNAcentral.